RNAcentral lists this long non-coding RNA (3081 nucleotides) under Nicotiana benthamiana. RNAcentral's name for it is "long non-coding RNA (NBEN_LNC037328)". Lineage: Eukaryota; Viridiplantae; Streptophyta; Magnoliopsida; Solanales; Solanaceae. The record is from RNAcentral.
AAAUGAUUUUCUUUUAAUUUCUAUGAGUAGUAUUUUUACAAAAAUUCUAAUGAAAAUAUAAAAACGCAAACUAUCUUCUUCUUUUGGAUUUUUGUUUAUAAUACAUUUUUCAAAUACAAAAUAUGAAAUAAUAAUAAAAGGCUGACAAACUUAACUUUAUUACAACAUACUCAAAAAUCAACUAACUGAAUACUAUUAUACAUGACUAGAAAGUAAAACAUGGAUAAUAGACUCUAAAACAUAAAAAACUCCUCGAGCAGCUCCUAAAUGCAGUGAUCCUAGAGCAUCUGUCAUGUUCAAACUCCGGUAAGUGAAUCCACACCUGUAUGAGAAAAUUGAAACCAACACUGUGUGAGACAAUAAUAUUUCCUGCUAGACACAUGCAAGACAUGGUUGAGGCUACUUUUGAAAAAUGACUUAUGUGGCCAAAAGGUUGCUAGAAGUACAAAAUUUGGCUAAGAUCUCGCAAAGCCAAGAACCUAAGAUUUACUAGGAAGACCGGACCAUAUGUGAGUUGCCUACGUAUCACGUCCCGAAAGACGAGAAUCGGGUGUAUGUAGUUCGGGCAGAUAGAAUACGUGCGAGAAUAAAAAAACAACUAAUUUAGAGAAAACAUAUUUUUUCUUUUCUUUUGAAAACUGAUGAAACGUGUAAACUCUUUUUGAAUUUUCUUUUUCCUCUUUUUUUUAUUUUUGAAACACAAUGAAAAAGUGCAAAAUCUUUUAAAUUUUUUAUUCUUUUUUUUCUCUUUUCUCUUUCAAAAAUAUGACAGAAAACAUAAUUGGGCCCUACUUGCUUUAUUUUUUACACUCCACUCUCUCUGUCUCUCUCUUUCUUUUUCUUUUUUUUCUUUCUUUUUAUUUGCUCUCAACUUUCAUUGGUCCGCCAAAUGACCCUUUUAACCUUUAAGAAAUACAACAUGUAGCACAUGGGAUGCAUCAGGAUGGUCUGUUAUUUCGGGUACACUUGUCCUAGACGGACUCAUCCCCUAUGUUGAGUCCCCUAAGUCAAAUGCGCGAUGCAAACAAGCUCUCCUACCAGGGAUCCGGCAUGAGGUUGUGUUCUUCUAGGUUUAAAUCCUGGAGUUUUGAUCUAAACUUAGGGUACAGAGCGGACAACUAAGGCCGAAGAGGGGGCGACGUACCGGAAGCACUGAUGUAUGUCCAACCUUGUGGCUUGCCCAGCUUCAUUCUAUUUGGUGUGACUUUUAACAAAAAGUGGGUCACGCGUACGUGUACACCAAAUUUUAGAAGAUUUAGAUGUGUGGCGUAAGAAGACAGUUAUAUACAAUUCAAACAAUAUCAAAGCGAUAAACAAAUAGCAUGUAGAACCAAAGAUUCACAGAAUACAGUAAUAUUAACAAUAAGCAAAGGUAAGUAAAAAAUAUUAAAAGCUAGAAUUCUUGAACCAUAUACCAGUUCUGGGUUCGAUCCCCAGCAAAGUCGCUAGAACUGUCACACCUCCUUUUUCAUUACCCAUAAGGGUAUAAAGGAGUUUUUCCAAUUUAAGUGACAAUCAAAAUGUAAUUACUUGCUUAAAAUUCAGAAUCACCACUUAGGAUAAUUUAUGGUGUCCUAAGUCACCGAUUUAAUAUCCCGAAUCGAGGAAAGAUUUGACUUUAUUUACGGUCUGCGAACAUAAAAAUCUGGGUAAUGAUUUAUGUUAAUAUGGGAGAAGGUGUUAGGCAUUCCCGAAUUCUCUGGUUCUAGCACAGUCGCUUUGAUCAUACUCGGCUUAUUAAAUUAUUUAAUUACUCAUUUUAGAACAUAUGUGCUUUUGCCUCUUUCAUCGCAUUUAAUUAAGAAAAUUGUCUUGAAACGAGUUACGCGUAUGUAUACUCAUUUGUUUGGCGCGUCAAAAUCGUGUCACGCGAACGUGUCCACAAUUAAGAACACUUUAUUAUUAUUAAGAAAGUUCGGAUGAAGUUGCGCAAACGCAUACUCCGAAUUUAUUUUUAGAAAUAGUAAUCAUGUCACACGAACGUGUCCACAACCACAAUAAUAUAUUAAACAGGCUCAAACUAACUAUGAUAUUUAUUUUUUUUUAAAUCAUACUCGUGUCACGCGAACAUGGACACAAUUAUAAUAAUAGAUUAAAAAUGCACCUAAAAGUAUGCUAGCAAUGUGAACUAACCGACUUAAUUAAAUUACAUUGAUUAAGACAAUAAAUUUUACAAUAUCCGCAAAUAAAAUAUGAGUAAACUUAAUAAAUGUCUUAUUCAAUACAUAAAUUUUGUCUAAACCAAGAUUUCAAUUAACUCCUAUUCACAAGAUAAAAUGUUGCCCCAUCAAUCCAGUUAAAUGAGACAACCAAAGUUGAGAAUUAACAGAAAUUUCUAGGAUUAUCAUUACUGCAGAACUUCAAGAACGUCUACUACUAUACAAGUUUAAGCACAUGUAUUACUCUGCCAGAAGAGAACAAUAGAUACCAGAUUCGCGAUGAAACAGAGCUACAAAAUUAACAACGUGAAAAAAAAAGAAGGAAAGAGCGAUACCUGUUAAUGUGUUAAAGCAAUAGUACACGGACAGAAAUCGAGCAAACACUACAACCCAAAACUCGAAACAAUUGACGCUCGAACCAAAGAUGCCGGACAGAUCUCAAACCGGAAACAAGCAGCGACGAUCCCAAACGGACCUCUCCUUAGCUAGAAAUUGAAUUCGAAACUAUUUUGAAAAGCUGAAACUUUGAGCUCUCUGAACUCUUGCCCUAGAAUGGUAGCAAAUAUGAGUUUUGCUUCUUGGUGCUAAUGGCGGAGCGCAACUGAUUUUUGAUGGCUUUUAUGGCUUAUCAACUGUUGGUUUUGGGGUGGUUUUGUGCUGAUAUUUGGUUGAAGUGGGGGUCAUUUUGAUUGCAGCAGCGGGUUUGAUCGAAGAAGAAGCGAGAAAUGAUGGGGGUGUCGAGAAGAUGAAGACUAGGGGUGAGAUCCUUUCUGAAAAUCAGCACCGCUCCCCUCAAUUCUUAGGCGUUAUUUUUCUUUUUUCUCCUUUUCCAGCUCAUUGUAGGUGUUCAUUUUCGUUUUCCCUUUAGAUUGAUAGGCAUUUAACUUAUAUAUAGAAAAUUAGGUCUAAGGUCAUCUUUUGU